UCAGGUCUCCAAGGUGAACAGCCUCUGGCCAAUGGAACAAUGUAGGCAAGGGAAGUCGGCAAAACGGAUCCGUAACUUCGGGAAAAGGAUUGGCUCUGAGGACUGGGCUCGGGGGUCCCGGCCCCGAACCCGUCGGCUAUCGGCGGAUUGCUCGAGCUGCUCACGCGGCGAGAGCGGGUCGCCGCGUGCCGGCCGGGGGACGGACCGGGAAUCGCCCCUUCGGGGGCUUUCCCCGAGCAU
RNAcentral lists this ribosomal RNA (240 nucleotides) under Triticum aestivum (bread wheat). Its description in RNAcentral is "partial small subunit ribosomal RNA". It matches the Rfam family "Eukaryotic large subunit ribosomal RNA", at positions 1859 to 2095 of the family's 3401-position model. Lineage: Eukaryota; Viridiplantae; Streptophyta; Magnoliopsida; Poales; Poaceae. The record is from RNAcentral.